This 465-nucleotide ribosomal RNA is filed under the name Vreelandella stevensii. Its description in RNAcentral is "partial 16S ribosomal RNA". It matches the Rfam family "Bacterial small subunit ribosomal RNA", at positions 338 to 795 of the family's 1533-position model. The record is from RNAcentral. Lineage: Bacteria; Pseudomonadati; Pseudomonadota; Gammaproteobacteria; Oceanospirillales; Halomonadaceae.
CCUACGGGCGGCAGCAGUGGGGAAUAUUGGACAAUGGGGGCAACCCUGAUCCAGCCAUGCCGCGGGUGUGAAGAAGGCCCUCGGGUUGUAAAGCACUUUCAGUGAGGAAGAACGCCUGGUGGUUAAUACCCAUCGGGAAAGACAUCACUCACAGAAGAAGCACCGGCUAACUCCGUGCCAGCAGCCGCGGUAAUACGGAGGGUGCGAGCGUUAAUCGGAAUUACUGGGCGUAAAGCGCGCGUAGGUGGCUUGAUAAGCCGGUUGUGAAAGCCCCGGGCUCAACCUGGGAACGGCAUCCGGAACUGUCAAGCUAGAGUGCAGGAGAGGAAGGUAGAAUUCCCGGUGUAGCGGUGAAAUGCGUAGAGAUCGGGAGGAAUACCAGUGGCGAAGGCGGCCUUCUGGACUGACACUGACACUGAGGUGCGAAAGCGUGGGUAGCAAACAGGAUUAGAUACCCUAGUAGUC